Molecule: ribosomal RNA, 406 nt
Filed under: uncultured bacterium
Lineage: Bacteria
Description: partial 16S ribosomal RNA
Rfam family: Bacterial small subunit ribosomal RNA
Source: RNAcentral
AUUGAACGCUGGCGGCAGGCCUAACACAUGCAAGUCGAGCGAGCGGCGGACGGGUGAGUAAUGUCUGGGCAACUGCCUGAUGGAGGGGGGUAACUCCUGGAAACGGUAGCUAAUACCGCAUACCCUCAGAUAUGCCCAGAUGGGAUUUGCUAGGAGGUGGGGUAAUGGCUCACCUAGUCGACGCUCCCUAGCUGGUCUGAGAGGAUGACCAGCCACACUGGAACUGAGACACGGGCCAGACUCCUACGGGAGGCAGCAGUGGGGAAUAUUGCACAAUGGGCGCAAGCCUGAUGCAGCCAUGCCGCGUGUAUGAAGAAGGCCUUCGGGUUGUAAAGUACUUUCAGCGAGGAGGCGUUACUCGCAGAAGAAGCACCGGCUAACUCCGUGCCAGCAGCCGCGGUAAUUC